GACGAACGCUGGCGGCGUGCUUAACACAUGCAAGUCGAACGGAAAGGCUCCAGCUUGCUGGAGUACUCGAGUGGCGAACGGGUGAGUAACACGUGGGCAAUCUGCCCUGCACUCUGGGAUAAGCCUGGGAAACUGGGUCUAAUACUGGAUAUGACCUUUCUCCUUAUGGGGUUUGGUGGAAAGUUUUUCGGUGUAGGAUGAGCCCGCGGCCUAUCAGCUUGUUGGUGGGGUGAUGGCCUACCAAGGCGACGACGGGUAGCCGGCCUGAGAGGGUGAUCGGCCACAUUGGGACUGAGAUACGGCCCAGACUCCUACGGGAGGCAGCAGUGGGGAAUAUUGCACAAUGGGCGGAAGCCUGAUGCAGCGACGCCGCGUGAGGGAUGACGGCCUUCGGGUUGUAAACCUCUUUCAGCAGGGACGAAGCGUAAGUGACGGUACCUGCAGAAGAAGCACCGGCUAACUACGUG
This 467-nucleotide ribosomal RNA is filed under the name uncultured bacterium. RNAcentral describes it as "partial 16S ribosomal RNA". It matches the Rfam family "Bacterial small subunit ribosomal RNA", at positions 28 to 507 of the family's 1533-position model. The record is from RNAcentral.